CAGCAGCCGCGGUAACACGGAGGGCGCGAGCGUUACCCGGAUUUACUGGGCGUAAAGGGCGUGUAGGCGGCCUGGGGCGUCCCAUGUGAAAGGCCACGGCUCAACCGUGGAGGAGCGUGGGAUACGCUCAGGCUAGAGGGUGGGAGAGGGUGGUGGAAUUCCCGGAGUAGCGGUGAAAUGCGCAGAUACCGGGAGGAACGCCGAUGGCGAAGGCAGCCACCUGGUCCACUUCUGACGCUGAGGCGCGAAAGCGUGGGGAGCAAACCGGAUUAGAUACCCCGGUAGUCCCUGUCUCUUAUAC
Molecule: ribosomal RNA, 301 nt
Filed under: uncultured bacterium
Lineage: Bacteria
Description: partial 16S ribosomal RNA
Rfam family: Bacterial small subunit ribosomal RNA
Source: RNAcentral